GGAGAGGUGCCUGAGUGGUUGAAAGGGACAGUCUUGAAAACUGUUAAGGGCGCAAGCUCUUCGCGAGUUCGAAUCUCGCCCUCUCCG
RNAcentral lists this transfer RNA (87 nucleotides) under Candidatus Azambacteria bacterium. RNAcentral describes it as "tRNA-Ser". It matches the Rfam family "tRNA". From Rfam's summary of the family: Transfer RNA (tRNA) molecules are approximately 80 nucleotides in length. Their secondary structure includes four short double-helical elements and three loops (D, anti-codon, and T loops). The record is from RNAcentral. Lineage: Bacteria; Candidatus Azamiibacteriota.